RNAcentral lists this ribosomal RNA (376 nucleotides) under Theopropus elegans. RNAcentral describes it as "partial 12S ribosomal RNA". The record is from RNAcentral. Lineage: Eukaryota; Metazoa; Arthropoda; Insecta; Mantodea; Hymenopodidae.
AUACCCUAUUAUUUUUAUUGUAAAGAUUUAAUGCUGGAGUAUUAAUAGAUAUAGUCUUUAAACUUAAAGAAUUUGGCGGUUUUAUAAUCUAUUUAGAGGAAUCUGUUGUGUAAUUGAUAAUCCACACUGAACCUUACUUAUAUUAAUUUCCUGUAUACCGCUGUUGUAAGAAGAUUCUUUUAGGAAAUUUUCUUGAUAUAAUAUUAAUUAAAAUUUCAAGUCAAGGUGCAGUUAUAUAUGAGUUGAAUAAUGGAUUACAAUAAAUUUUAUUUAUUAUAUGGAUUGUUAUUGUAAAUAUAAUUUGAAAGUGGAUUUAAUUGUAAUUUUAUGAAGAUUAAUAAAAUGAUUAUAGUUAUAUAAUGUGUACACAUCGCCC